AGCAGUCGCCGCGGGAAUACGUAGGGGGCAAGCGUUAUCCGGAAUUAUUGGGCGUAAAGGGCUCGCAGGCGGUUUCUUAAGUCUGAUGUGAAAGCCCCCGGCUCAACCGGGGUGGGUCAUUGGAAACUGGGAAACUUGAGUGCAGAAGAGGAGAGUGGAAUUCCACGUGUAGCGGUGAAAUGCGUAGAGAUGUGGAGGAACACCAGUGGCGAAGGCGACUCUCUGGUCUGUAACUGACGCUGAGGAGCGGAAGCGUGGGGAGCGAACAGGAUUAGAUACCCGGGUAGUCCCUGUCUCUUAUAC
Molecule: ribosomal RNA, 303 nt
Filed under: uncultured bacterium
Lineage: Bacteria
Description: partial 16S ribosomal RNA
Rfam family: Bacterial small subunit ribosomal RNA
Source: RNAcentral